Molecule: ribosomal RNA, 427 nt
Filed under: uncultured bacterium
Lineage: Bacteria
Description: bacterial SSU rRNA
Rfam family: Bacterial small subunit ribosomal RNA
Source: RNAcentral
UGGGGAAUUUUGGACAAUGGACGCAAGUCUGAUCCAGCCAUGCCGCGUGCGGGAAGAAGGCCUUCGGGUUGUAAACCGCUUUUGUCAGGGAAGAAACGAGUUUCUCUAAUACAGAGACUUAAUGACGGUACCUGAAGAAUAAGCACCGGCUAACUACGUGCCAGCAGCCGCGGUAAUACGUAGGGUGCGAGCGUUAAUCGGAAUUACUGGGCGUAAAGCGUGCGCAGGCGGUUAUAUAAGACAGAUGUGAAAUCCCCGGGCUCAACCUGGGACCUGCAUUUGUGACUGCAUAGCUAGAGUACGGUAGAGGGGGAUGGAAUUCCGCGUGUAGCAGUGAAAUGCGUAGAUAUGCGGAGGGACACCGAUGGCGAAGGCAAUCCCCUGGACCUGUACUGACGCUCAUGCACGAAAGCGUGGGGAGCAAACA